UACGAAGGUCCCAAGCGUUAUCCGGAUUUAUUGGGUUUAAAGGGUGCGUAGGCGGGUUAUUAAGUCAGUGGUGAAAGCCUUCAGCUUAACUGAGGAACUGCCAUUGAUACUGAUGAUCUUGAGUAUGAUUGAGGUGGGCGGAAUGUGUCAUGUAGCGGUGAAAUGCUUAGAUAUGACACAGAACACCGAUUGCGAAGGCAGCUCACUAAGCCAUAACUGACGCUGAUGCACGAAAGCGUGGGGAGCAAACAGG
RNAcentral lists this ribosomal RNA (253 nucleotides) under uncultured bacterium. RNAcentral describes it as "partial 16S ribosomal RNA". It matches the Rfam family "Bacterial small subunit ribosomal RNA", at positions 524 to 776 of the family's 1533-position model. The record is from RNAcentral.